ACUAUACAUGCAAGUCGAGCGAGCCGAACUAAUUGAUUACCUUCGGGUAUGGAGUUAGGGAAGCGAGCGGCGGAUGGGUGAGUAACACGUGGGUAACCUACACUAUAGUCUGGGAUACCACUUGGAAACAGGUGCUAAUACCGGAUAAAAGGAGAGAUCACAUGAUUUCUUUUUGAAAGGCGGCGUAAGCUGUCGCUAAAGGAUGGACCCGCGGUGCAUUAGCUAGUUGGUAAGGUAACGGCUUACCAAGGCAACGAUGCAUAGCCGAGUUGAGAGACUGAUCGGCCACAUUGGGACUGAGACACGGCCCAGACUCCUACGGGAGGCAGCAGUAGGGAAUCUUCCACAAUGGACGCAAGUCUGAUGGAGCAACGCCGCGUGAGUGAAGAAGGUUUUCGGAUCGUAAAGCUCUGUUGUUGGUGAAGAAAGAUAGUGAGAGUAACUGCUCAUUAUUUGCCGGUAAUCAACCAGAAAGUCACGGCUAACUACGUGCCAGCAGCCGCGGUAAUACGUAGGUGGCAAGCGUUGUCCGGAUUUAUUGGGCGUAAAGCGAGCGCAGGCGGAAAGAUAAGUCAGAUGUGAAAGCCCUCGGCUUAACCGAGGAAUAGCAUCGGAAACUGUCUUUCUUGAGUGCAGAAGAGGAGAGUGGAACUCCAUGUGUAGCGGUGGAAUGCGUAGAUAUAUGGAAGAACACCAGUGGCGAAGGCGGCUCUCUGGUCUGUAACUGACGCUGAGGCUCG
Molecule: ribosomal RNA, 740 nt
Filed under: uncultured bacterium
Lineage: Bacteria
Description: bacterial SSU rRNA
Rfam family: Bacterial small subunit ribosomal RNA
Source: RNAcentral